RNAcentral lists this small nucleolar RNA (108 nucleotides) under Cephalotus follicularis. RNAcentral's name for it is "Plant small nucleolar RNA R71". It matches the Rfam family "Plant small nucleolar RNA R71". Rfam says of the family: R71 is a member of the C/D box family of snoRNAs containing the C (UGAUGA) and D (CUGA) box motifs. Multiple nearly identical copies of this snoRNA have been identified in Arabidopsis, and it is thought to function as a 2'-O-ribose methylation guide for 18S ribosomal RNA. Lineage: Eukaryota; Viridiplantae; Streptophyta; Magnoliopsida; Oxalidales; Cephalotaceae. The record is from Rfam by way of RNAcentral.
AAACCAUGGUGAGGACACUCUAAGAGAAGAUCCUUAAAACGUUCCAUACACCUAGAAAAUGAUUCACUGGGUUUUUUGACGAAACUGAAGAAUGACGUUCCUAAGUUU